Long non-coding RNA from Podarcis raffonei (Aeolian wall lizard), 1041 nucleotides. RefSeq lists it as uncharacterized. The transcript has 3 exons. Lineage: Eukaryota; Metazoa; Chordata; Lepidosauria; Squamata; Lacertidae. The record is from RefSeq and is a predicted model, not a curated record.
CAGUAUAGAAAUUGUUUAAAUGAAGAAAGAAGAAUAAACUCCCUGCAAAUGUAAAAAAAAAAAAAAGCCCGACACAGCAAGGAGAAUGAAUCUUACCUAUCCCUUUGCCUGUUGUGUUGCUUUUCUAUUUGCAGUGAGUUCUUAACUUAGGGAGAAGGGACAUAGGUUGUACCGCUUCAGAAUACGGUGGUACCUUGGGUUACAUACGCUUCAAGUUACAGACUCUGCUAACCCAGAAAUAUUACCUCGGGUUAAGAACUUUGCUUCAGGAUGAGAACAGAAAUCGUGCUCCAGUGGCGCGGUGGCAGCAGGAGGCCCCAUUAACUAAAGUGGUACCUCAGGUUAAGAACAGGUUCAGGUUAAGAACGAACCUCCAGAACGAAUUAAGUACUUAACCUGAGGUACCACUGUACAAUACAUACUGAACUCUGUGGGGCUUACUUCUGAGUGUGUGUUUCAAAGACUGGGGGAAAUUGAAGCUAUUUUGUGAAGCAAUGAAAGCUGGUGAUUUAGUGUUUAUACUGAAUUUACCAUAGGUCUUUAAAUCAGAGAUGCAAUUUAUCAUCUUUGGAUUUCUUUGUUGAAAUUGUGCUUGGAAAAAGUGUACAUUUUGACAGGAAGGAAACCUCACUCUUCUCUGCUCAAAUAAUAACAACAAGCCUGCACUCUGCACUAUUUCUUACCCUUUUCCGUUAGUUUAAAACGAGAAGCAGACAUUAAAGAAGACCAACCACACGGCGUCAUCUCCUUUCAACUUCUGUUAACAGGGGCAUUAAAAAGACCCUCCUCAAUAUCAGCUGGAAAAUGCCAAGUCAUAAAAGUUGUACUUAAAAGGACAGGUGGCAACCCUAGAAAGCCCCAACUGCAAGAUGACAACUCCUCAGAUGUUUUCUGCCUGUGCACUGAAUGGCUGCAAGGAAUUGCGUCUUUGCCCGACAGCAGGAGUGCUUCACAUUGGGACCAAGUCCCAGGACUUUUCGUUUUAAUUAUUGCAGAACAUUAAAGCGUUCUGUGGUUUGGCCCCGCUUUCUUUCUCCAUCA